Molecule: unclassified non-coding RNA, 253 nt
Filed under: uncultured Oligoflexaceae bacterium
Lineage: Bacteria; Pseudomonadati; Bdellovibrionota; Oligoflexia; Oligoflexales; Oligoflexaceae
Description: contains 16S-23S intergenic spacer region
Rfam family: Bacterial small subunit ribosomal RNA
Source: RNAcentral
UACGGAGGGUGCAAGCGUUGUUCGGAAUCACUGGGCGUAAAGCGCACGUAGGCUGAUUCAUAAGCCAAUUGUGAAAUCCCGGGGCUCAACCUCGGAAUUGCAGUUGGAACUGUGAACCUUGAAUGCUCGAGAGGGUGGGGGAAUUCCUGGUGUAGAAGUGAAAUUCGUAGAUAUCAGGAGGAACACCGGAGGCGAAGGCGCCUACCUGGCGAUGCAUUGACGCUGAGGUGCGAAAGCGUGGGUAGCAAACAGG